AUGAAAAUCGUGGAGAAAGAGUUGGCGACCUUGUAUGACAAAUGUGUUUCCCAAGAUAAGCGAGCUGGAAAUGGAGAAAGUGUAUCUUCCUCUAUAAACAUUCCUAGUAUCCCGGUUCAAGCUGGGUAUGAGUCCUUCUUAUCGUCCCGUUCAACAAGAAUAUCAAAGAGUGAGUUGAGGAACUACUUAGAGGAUGCGGUUGAACCUCGCAACAAGGCUCUUGAUCUUCUUGGUUGGUGGAAAGUCAAUGCUCCUAGGUACCCAAUUAUGGCCAAGAUAGCCAGGAGGUUCCUUACUAUCCCGGCUACCUCCGUGUCUUCAGAAUCUACCUUCAGCACGACCGGAAGGAUUUUAGAUGACUACAGGAGUUCGUUAAAACCGGUUAUGGUGGAGGCAUUAGUUUGUGGUGCAAGUUAUAUAAAGGGUGCUCACGUUGACUUGAAUCUGGUGCCGAGGGAUGAGAAUGAAGAGGAUGAUGUUGAAACCAUCAAGUUACCCAUCGUGGAGGAGAUCAACGAUUGA
This 522-nucleotide ribosomal RNA is filed under the name Triticum aestivum (bread wheat). Its description in RNAcentral is "partial small subunit ribosomal RNA". The record is from RNAcentral. Lineage: Eukaryota; Viridiplantae; Streptophyta; Magnoliopsida; Poales; Poaceae.